Molecule: transfer RNA, 75 nt
Filed under: Curtobacterium sp. MCBD17_040
Lineage: Bacteria; Bacillati; Actinomycetota; Actinomycetes; Micrococcales; Microbacteriaceae
Rfam family: tRNA
About the family: Transfer RNA (tRNA) molecules are approximately 80 nucleotides in length. Their secondary structure includes four short double-helical elements and three loops (D, anti-codon, and T loops). Further hydrogen bonds mediate the characteristic L-shaped molecular structure. tRNAs have two regions of fundamental functional importance: the anti-codon, which is responsible for specific mRNA codon recognition, and the 3' end, to which the tRNAs corresponding amino acid is attached (by aminoacyl-tRNA synthetases). tRNAs cope with the degeneracy of the genetic code in two manners: having more than one tRNA (with a specific anti-codon) for a particular amino acid; and 'wobble' base-pairing, i.e. permitting non-standard base-pairing at the 3rd anti-codon position.
Source: Rfam by way of RNAcentral
GCCGCCUUAGCUCAGUUUGGCCAGAGCGUCCGCCUUGUAAGCGGAGGGCCGUCGGUUCAAAUCCGACAGGCGGCU